This 459-nucleotide ribosomal RNA is filed under the name uncultured bacterium. RNAcentral's name for it is "partial 16S ribosomal RNA". It matches the Rfam family "Bacterial small subunit ribosomal RNA", at positions 338 to 795 of the family's 1533-position model. The record is from RNAcentral.
CCUACGGGAGGCAGCAGUGAGGAAUAUUGGUCAAUGGCCGGAAGGCUGAACCAGCCAUGCCGCGUGAAGGUCAGUGCCCUAUGGGUUGUAAACUUCUUUUAUAUGGGAAUAAAAUGUUCCACGUGUGGGAUUUUGUAUGUACCAUACGAAUAAGGAUCGGCUAACUCCGUGCCAGCAGCCGCGGUAAUACGGAGGAUCCGAGCGUUAUCCGGGUUUAUUGGGUUUAAAGGGAGCGUAGGUGGAAUGUUAAGUCAGUCGUGAAAGUGUGCGGCUCAACCGUAAAAUUGCAGUUGAAACUGGGAGUCGUGAGUACAGUAGAGGUGGGCGGAAUUCGUGGUGUAGCGGUGAAAUGCUUAGAUAUCACGCAGAACUCCGAUUGCGAAGGCAGUUCACUGGACUGCAACUGACACUGAGGCUCGAAAGCGUGGGUAUCAAACAGGAUUAGAUACCCCGGUAGUC